RNAcentral lists this ribosomal RNA (262 nucleotides) under uncultured bacterium. Its description in RNAcentral is "partial 16S ribosomal RNA". It matches the Rfam family "Bacterial small subunit ribosomal RNA", at positions 524 to 777 of the family's 1533-position model. The record is from RNAcentral.
UACGUAGGCAGCGAGCGUUGUUCGGAGUUACGUGGCGUAAAGAGUGCGUAGGCGGUUUUCAAGUUUGGUGUGAAAUCGUCCCGCUUAACUGGGAGGGUGCGCCGAAGACUGGAAGGCGUUGAGUAUGGGAGAGGUAAGCGGAAUUCCUGGUGUAGCGGUGAAAUGACGUAGAGAGUCAUGAGGAAGGACCAGUGGCGAAGGCGGGUCUCGUGGACAAGUUCCGUGACACUGAGACACGAAGGACCCAGGGGAGCAAACGGGA